UGGUUUUAUGCCCUUUCCUAUACCUUCUUCACCAUAAAGUGGAUUUCUUGACCUAAGACGAUGUUAUGUGGGAUCUCAAGUUGGUAAAUCAGACACUAUGGAUCUCUGGAUAGUGGUGCUACUGAGGCACUGAGGGCAGGAAAGGCGAAUUCACACCUGGAAUGCACGCCAAUUUAAGACAAAAUGAAUCACUGCCCUUUCCCAGGUAGAAGGUGUCUUAUGUAAUCCAUUUGCCACCAAGUGGUUGCUUAGUCUCUUCAGGGAUGGUAUCAUCUGGAGGGCUCUGCUGGACUCUGAUGUUGACAGACUGGACACUGAGUGGCAGUCAUUAGAUCAGCUUUGUGAGGGGGCAGAGCCCAUGGUGUUGGGCCCUGUAUAACCUCCAUCCUUGCCACCAUAGCGACUCCAUUUAUGGGCCCAUUGUAUAAGCACUAGGGUGGUUAAAGAUCAAACUUGUUUGAUACCCAGGGGCUGAAUGUGCCAGCCCAUUUGGUUGCCUAGUGCCUCUUGUAUACUGGAUGCUUUUCAGUGGACACUAACAUGAAACACCAAGAUUCUUACACCUUGUGCCCAGUCCCAGAGGUCCAUCUACAGCUCCUUACCCAGAUCCCCUUGUGCCAAUCUUCCAAUACUGCUUCUUCCAGGUCCCUGACCAACCAACCAAACCACUUACCAUUUCCCAGGAGUUCAGGCAUAUCCUCAUCCCAGGCCAUCUCUUUUUCCACCCAGAGUUGCUGACCCAUGGUGCUGGCCAUUGGGAGAAUCUCCUCUCACUGCAGGCUUUUGAUAUCAUCCCUCAGUGUGACUGUGGUAAAGCAAUAAUCCGUUUUAGGCCCUCACUGACAUGUAAAGUCAAUCUGUUUUUGAAGCAGGCCUAAUUUUCCCCUCUCUUCUGCCAGCUAGUCAUAGGACAUGCUAUUCAAGUCCAUAGAUAUAAGCUAAGGAGGAAGCAUUGGUGCAUCAGGGACGAUUACCUGGGAGCCAGAGCCACCUGUCUGUGCAGCUUACUCAUGCCUCAUGCCUCUGCACCUGCUUGGGGCCAGUAUUUAGAUAUAGCACUCUCAUUGGAUGAUGGGCUGCUGUUCCACCCUACCUUAUGGCUUGGUGGAUCUCACAGCACCCAGCUAAUGAUGUUCAACUCCAUUCACACAGUCACCUGAUGUCCCAUGAUUAGAUGCUGUGUCUCUACCCAGGUCCAGUAGCAUGCUAGGGGCAGUCUUUUCAAUGGUGCAUAAUUCUCUGAACAUAUUCAGCCUAUUUCUCAAGGCUCUUCCAGUUUCUAACCUUUGAUGGCCUUUGAGCUGUUCUGAGUCUGUCCAGGGACUGUUCACUGAAGCUAACUCGAAGGCCUAAUUUUCGACAAAAAGCAGGCAGAGGCCCCAUUCCAGUACUCUAGGGGUCUGUGCUGUGACUGUCCUAUUGGAGAUUUCCUUAGACUUGACGUGGCAUUACUGUCCAUCAAAGAUACCUUCAGUACGAUAGGAUCUUCUAGGUUUGGUGGGUUAUAUGGCCCAAGCAGCCUGGACCUGCUGCAGGGCUCUGUCUUACGCACUGACCCACUCAAGACUGAGUGCCUUCUGUGUCACCUAAUAAUGGGCCAGAGAAGUAUUUUCAAGUGCCGCGAAUGCUGCCUAUAAACCCUGAAGAAUCCUACCAAGCACUGUGCUUCUUUCUUAGUGGUGGGAGGUACAAGUUGCAAUAACUUGUCCUUUACCUUGGGCAGUAUUUCCUGAAGACAGAUAAAUCUGGGGAAAAUUACAUUGGUCACCUGAUCUUCAUAAGUCCCUACUCUACUUGGAGGAUGAUGAUGGUGUUUCAGUUCUCCUGGUAUCAGUAUCAGCUCCGACCCCUGUCUAAUAGUCCUGGAAGGAUCUGGCCAGACUCUCUUCCCAGGGCUUGUGAUUUUGGCAAAUGUUCUCGGAUCACAUGGGAAAGAAUUGGGGGAAUGUUUACUAUAGAUUAUUUGUGAUGGUGUUGCCAAGUCUUUCCUCCAAGAAAUCCAGACUCUUCUUCAGUCAGUCGACUCUAGGUGUGUUAAGCAUUUUAAUCUGAAAAUUGAAUAAAGGACCAACUCUCAAUCUUUUGUAUGCAAAGCUGAAUACCACCUUAGUUGACUAUCCAUGUUAGGAGAACACCAUGAUCUGGCAGCUGUUGGGGCCAAAGGGAAACUUCCCCUGUGCCCACUGGGAGUCCACUGAAAAUCACUGGCAAGGUGCAGUUAAUAGGAGAAAAAGCAUACAAAUUUAUUUCAUCAUAGUUUACACAACACAAGGCCUUCAGAAUGAAGACCCAAAGACACAGGGGAAAUUGUCCAUCUUUAAGCCUAGGUUUAGCAAACUAUGGACAGCUGUGUAGAAACAUGAUUGGAGGAAAAGGAUAUGAUCCGAUGCUAACAGACCCAGUGGGACACCCAGCAAGACCUGUCUGUCUAGAUUCUUCCUGCUGUCUCUGUGUGGCAUUCCUUUCUUCUGGGUGUAGGGCAGGGCCGUCUCUGGAACGGGGGCAUCUCAUGACCUACAUUCAAACAAGGUAGGUCAGAUAAUUUCUUUAAGGCUAGUUUUUACACAGAAAGGCAGGUGGGUGCAGAGGGGCAGAGGCAGAGUCGUAUUUUUAGGUUUUAUGGCUGGCUUUGGCUGUGUGGGAAAAGGGUUCUGGUUUCUAUGACCUGCCUUGGGGAAGAGGGAUUCUAGUUUCUCUGUCUAACCUUGCGGGCGAAUGAGACUGAGAGGCAGGAGGGCAGGAGAAUGUCAGAGGAAAACGUUUGCUUCUGAGGCCUUCAUUUUGGGGAAUUGCUUUCUGAGCUCCAACAUAGCCAAUAGCAAUUACCAUAGGUGUCCGCAGGUCAUGGCACCCUGAUGGCUAGUCCAGUCUUGCUGUCCUUUAGGGUAAUUACACUCUAUUUUCAUUUGAGAUUUGAGUGUCUCCUAGCCUGGUAAUUCUAUGAUCCCAUUAUGCUUACUGAUAUUAGGGAGUCCCUUUCUAUGAUAUCAUCUUUAACUGUCAACUCUGCUCUAAAAUGGACAGUCAUCCCUGCCUCCAGAACUGUAAGAAAUAAAUUUGUUUUUUCAUAUAUUUAAAAAGGUACAACCAUCUUCAGGCUUGUAAGAGAUAUCAGUACAGGCAUCACCAGUGCAUUCCUUAUGAUGGUGGAGAAGGGUGUGUCUUCUGGUCUGCCCUGGGGAAAUAGACAAGCGUGCUUUCUCAGGUCCCACUUGGUAAAUCCACUCUAACAAGCUUAUCUGUCUGAGCUCAUUGCACUUUCCUUGAUGCUAUGAUAAGGAUGGUGAUAGCGCUGCCUCAUUUCAUGUACAUUUCCUUUAGGUCAGAUCUUCAAGGAGGCAUCUCAACAGACUCGUAGGACUGGCUUCAGGUAUUUUUACCAGAACAUUGGAUCCCAAGUUACCUGGGAGGUCUCCCAUGUCAAUCAAUCCUCCCCUAACCAGCCUGAUGUUCUCCUUGCUCCGACUUGAAAACCCUCAAAAUCGAUUUUCCCGUAUUUCCCCAGGUCUUGGUAGUGUUUAGCAGCCAGGACUGCAAUUCCCUUGGCAUGUAAACUGUAGUCUGGAGCAAGGGCUUUGAUUUUCCAUUCAGGUGGUGCUGAGACCUUGCCCAGGUUUUGGUACUGGAAUCAAUGAGGGGAAGCAGAAGGGAAUCUUGAGGAGGGCCAGCACCUGCCUCAGGCAAGGCCCCUCGCUGCUCAAUUCCAGGCACAGGGGCACUCUUAUCAUUUGCGAAGGAGGAUGAGGCUGCUUCUGGCGGCACACUGGAUUUUGUACACUAUAGGGACUUUAAAUUCUUAGGCUUGUCCACUCAAAUAUUCUUAUUACAGCCUCAGGGUUUCACUUUUUUUUUUUUUUCCUCACCAGGGCCCUGACUUUUUCACAGAAAACCUAUGAAGAUGCAGAUUAAUCUUCCCUAUGGCUCUCACAGCUCUGCCAUGCUAAGACUUUGACCCUGGACCUGCUGUUCGGCCCCAUCUGCCCCAUGGCUGCAGGAGACAAAUGUCUCCUUAAACGCUGCCGUUGAGGUCUUUUUACUUUCAUAGUGUACCAGUGGGCCUGAGUUUGCUAUUUUUUAAAAGGAUUCCAAUGCAGUUAAAAGCAGUCAGCUUCCUCUACAAUUCUUACGGUUUUAAUCUCCAUCAGGGAGAUGCUAUUUUCACCCCUGACGACAAAUGAGGAAACUGAGCUACAGAGAGUUUGAGAAUUUCCUCCACAUUCCACAGCUACUCAAUGGCAGAGCUGGGAUUUGAACCCAGGAAGUUCAGCAUCAGGGUCCAUAUUCUGUCCUCCCCUUCAAAAGGAGCCACCUAUUAUGUCACCCAUUAAAAUAGUUUUAUUUUAUUUUGUUUCCGUUGUUGCUAGCCCUGAGUCUUCAGCGAAUGAGGGUCAUCAUCAUCUUCUAAUGGAAGAGGUAGGAGAGGGAGAGACAGAGACGGGAGUAGUUUCAAAACAUGGGUCUUGCGUAGAAAAUAAGGGGGCAAUACUACAAUGCAGCUGGCCCCACUGAGCAAGCCUGUGUCAUGAAAGCACACAGGAAACUGGGUUGAAUGUAAAAGGAUCAAUACCUCCACCUGUCUUCACUUGAACACUAGGUCCCACAGCUAGCGGUGGAUAGAUGCAUUUCAUCACCUGAUAGAUGCAUUUCAAAGAUUUUUCUUUGUUUUAUGUCUUUUAAAAGUCACAGGCUAAGAUCCCUCUCACAUGUGAGAAAAAUGCAAGCUGCUAUGGAUUGAAUUGUGUCUCCUCAAGAAUUAUAUGUUAAUCUAUCUCAGAUUGUAACCCUGUUUGGAGGCGGGAUCAUAACAGAGGUCAUAACAGAGGUAAUCGAGUUAAAAUGAGGUCAUCAGAGUGAACCCUAAUCUAACAUGAUAGAUGUCCACAUCAGAAAGGGAAAUUUGUACACACAGACACGCACACAGGGAGUACACCAUGUGAAGAUGAAGGCAGAGAUUGAGUGAUACAUCUUCAAGCUAGGGAACACUGAAGACUGCCAGUAAACCACAAGGAACAAGGGGUGCGGCGUGGAGCAGAUUCUCCCUCACAGACCUCAGGAGGAACCAGCUCUGCUGACACCUUGAUCUGAGACUUCUAGCCUCCAUAUGAAAUGUAUGACACAAUAAACUUCUGUUGUUUAAGUC
Long non-coding RNA from Macaca mulatta (Rhesus monkey), 5140 nucleotides. RefSeq lists it as uncharacterized. The record is from RefSeq and is a predicted model, not a curated record. NCBI's taxonomy places the organism in Eukaryota, Metazoa, Chordata, Mammalia, Primates, Cercopithecidae.